RNAcentral lists this ribosomal RNA (253 nucleotides) under uncultured bacterium. Its description in RNAcentral is "partial 16S ribosomal RNA". It matches the Rfam family "Bacterial small subunit ribosomal RNA", at positions 524 to 776 of the family's 1533-position model. The record is from RNAcentral.
UACGGAGGGUGCAAGCGUUAUCCGGAUUCACUGGGCGUAAAGGGUGCGUAGGUGGUGAGGUAAGUCGGAUGUGAAAUCUCCGAGCUCAACUCGGAAAUGGCAUUGGAAACUACCUUGCUCGAGGGUUGGAGGGGGGACUGGAAUACUUGGUGUAGCAGUGAAAUGCGUAGAUAUCAAGUGGAACACCAGUGGCGAAGGCGAGUCCCUGGACAACUCCUGACACUGAGGCACAAAAGCUAGGGGAGCAAACAGG